UACGUAGGCAGCAAGCGUUGUUCGGAGUUACUGGGCGUAAAGGGUGUGUAGGCGGUCUUCUAAGUUUGGUGUGAAAUCUCCCGGCUCAACUGGGAGGGUGCGCCGAAAACUGGGAGGCUAGAGUGCGGGAUGGGAGAGUGGAAUUCCUGGUGUAGCGGUGAAAUGCGUAGAUAUGCGGAGGAACACCAAUGGCGAAGGCAAUCUCCUGGACCUGCACUGACGCUCAUGCACGAAAGCGUGGGGAGCAAACAGG
This 253-nucleotide ribosomal RNA is filed under the name uncultured bacterium. Its description in RNAcentral is "partial 16S ribosomal RNA". It matches the Rfam family "Bacterial small subunit ribosomal RNA", at positions 524 to 776 of the family's 1533-position model. The record is from RNAcentral.